GAUGCACCAAAAUAGCUGCUGUCCAUUUUCGUGUUGAAUGUUUUUUUUUUAAGAACUCGCGAAGUGUGGGUUUAAACUUAGCUAGUAAAUAUAAUCGAAUACAUUUUACGAGUAAGAACUUGAGUUGACGACGGUGUCGUUUUCAGUAUGUUUGCGAAGUCCAACACAGUGAUUAAACGCUCCGAUAGGCGAGGAGUCACUCGUUCCACAUUAAACUCAACGAUUUAUAAUGAAGUUGAGCGACGACGAGUAGUGUAGUGUGGUGGGCCGACUGGAGCUCCGACGUUUUAAUGGAAAAAAAACGACACAUUUCUGCACCCAAAGAAUAGGCAGCAAUUACACACGAUAUUUUCUAUUCGCCGCUCAACUCAACAGGCAUCCAUCCUCUUUGGUAGCUAGAAAGAUACCCAGACAGCCAGAGUGAGAGGAGUCUGGAAAAGAUAUGCAAUUUCAUAUAUGCUAGAUUGUGACAGACCUUUAGGACGUUCCAUUUGAUUUCAAUCACCUUUUGAACGCACCCCUUUUUAAUUUGAACAAAACCUCCCAUACAUAUUUGCUCAUGGUAGAAGUGGUCAGAAAGUGACUCUUAGGACCUGAAUGCCAAAACAUUCAGUAGAGGAGGUGCCUAAAGUUGGCGAUUUUUGCAUACUCCACCAUACCAUGAGACAUCCAUUUCUUCAUCAGUGGAAAAGAUUAACGGGUCACCGGGAGAGAUCAGCCAAUGAAGUUGGAAGUCAUACCUGUUGACUACAUUAAUAUGGUGGAAGCCCUCAAUGACGCCUCCCAUGCUAAUACAGCUUUUUGGCCACUAUGAUUCAUUAUGAUUGAGACAGCAUGCUCUUAACACAAGGAGGAAGCUGAAUGCUGACAUAUCCACUGCCUUUCCCUCUCUGUCUGUGGAGGAUCUGUCCGAGUUGGUCCCAAACAAAGAGGAGCUGAAUGUAGUGAAGAUCUAUGCCCACAAGGGAGAUGCAGUCACCCUCUACGUUCUUCAUAAGAACCCAGUGUUCUUUGAGCUGGAGAAACGUGUCUAUCUCACAGGAUAUAACCAUGGGGACAGCAGGUUAUGAGUGAACCUGCGCAUCACUACCACAAGGACGCUAGACAAAAUUUAGCACUGCCACCAGCUGGUCUUCCCUGGCCAGCCACCCGUAGUAAAGAAGGGCCACAUUGAGCCCAUAGACAUCUCUGUGGCCUUCAGGAACUCCAACAAGACGGUGACCAUGAUAAAGAACCUGGAGGUGUAUGGUGUGGACCCCAUGGCCGUAUCGUUAGCCCUGCAGCACAGAGUCCACGCCAGCUCAGCCCUGAACUACAUACCUGGCUCAAAGGACCGUGCUCUGGUCGAGAUACAAGGAAACCGGGUCCAGCAAGUCGGCCAACUGCUGCUACUGUAGACCUGAGCCCUAGAACCAUGCCUCAGGACUACCUGGCAUGAUGACUCCUUGCUGUCCCCAGUCCACCUGGCUGUGCUGCUGCUCCAGUUUCAACUGUUCUCCCUGUGGCUAUGGAACCCUGACCUGUUCACCGGAAGUGCUACCUGUCCCAGACCUGCUGUUUUCAACUCUCUCGAGACCGCAGGAGCGGUAGAGAUACUCUCAAUGAUCGGCUAUGAAAAGCCAACUGGCAUUUACUCCUGAGGUGCUGACUUGUUGCACCCUCGACAACUACUGUGAUUAUAAUUAUUUGACCAUGCUGGUCAUUUAUGAACAUUUGAACGUCUUGGCCAUGUUCUGUUUUAAUCUCCACCCGGCACAGCCAGAAGAGGACUGGCCACCCCUCAUAGCCUGGUUCCUCUCUAGGUUUCUUCCUAGGUUUUGGCCUUUCUAGGGAGGUUUUUCCUAGCCACCGUGCGUCUACACCUGCAUUGCUUGCUGUUUGGGGUUUUAGGCUGGGUUUCUGUACAGCACUUUGAGAUAUCAGCUGACGUAAGAAGGGCUAUAUAAAUACAUUUCACCAUAGCAGUACCCACCCGUAGCACAUGCUCCAGCAGGUAUAUUUCACUGGUCAUCCCCAAAUCCAACUCCUCCUUUGGCACACUUUCCUUCCAGUUCUCUGCUGCCAAUGACUGGAACGAAUUGCAAACAUCACUGUAGCUGGAGUCUUAUAUUUCCCUCACUAACUUUAAGUAUCAGUUGUCAGAGCAGCUUACCGAUCAUUGCACCUGUACACAGCCCAUCUGUAAAUAGCCCACCCAACUACCUAAUCCCCAUAUUGUUAUUUAUUUUUUUGCUCCUUUGCACCCCAGUAUCUCUACUUGCAUAUUCAUCUUCUGCAUAUCUAACACUCCAAGUGUUUAAUUACUAAAUUGUCAUUAUUUUGCCACUAUGGCCUAUUUAUUGCCUUACAUCCGUAAUAUUACUACAUUUGCACACACUGUAUAUAGAUUUUUCUAUUGUGUUAUUGACUCUUCGUUUGUUUAUCCCAUGUGUAACUCUGUGUUGUUUGUGUCGCACUGAUUUGCUUAUCUUGUCCAGGUCGCAGUUGUAAAUGAGAACUUGUUCUCAACUGGCCUACCUGGUUAAAUAAAGGUGAAAAAAAAUAGUCUUGA
Molecule: RNA transcript, 2551 nt
Organism: Oncorhynchus masou masou (cherry salmon)
Lineage: Eukaryota; Metazoa; Chordata; Actinopteri; Salmoniformes; Salmonidae
Gene name: eukaryotic translation initiation factor 2D-like
Exons: 7
Source: RefSeq, a predicted model, not a curated record